This 465-nucleotide ribosomal RNA is filed under the name uncultured bacterium. RNAcentral describes it as "bacterial SSU rRNA". It matches the Rfam family "Bacterial small subunit ribosomal RNA", at positions 28 to 507 of the family's 1533-position model. The record is from RNAcentral.
GACGAACGCUGGCGGCGUGCCUAACACAUGCAAGUCGAACGGGGUGAUUUCCUUCGGGAGAUCACUUAGUGGCGAACGGGUGAGUAACGCGUGAGGAACCUGCCUUUCAGUGGGGGACAACAGUUGGAAACGACUGCUAAUACCGCAUAACAUACACGGACCGCAUGAUCUGUGUAUCAAAGCUUUAUGUGCUGAAAGAUGGCCUCGCGUCUGAUUAGCUAGUUGGUGGGGUAACGGCCCACCAAGGCGACGAUCAGUAGCCGGUCUGAGAGGAUGAAACGGCCACAUUGGGACUGAGAUACGGCCCAGACUCCUACGGGAGGCAGCAGUGGGGAAUAUUGGGCAAUGGGGGAAACCCUGACCCAGCAACGCCGCGUGAAGGAAGAAGGCCUUCGGGUUGUAAACUUCUUUUAGCAGGGACGAAUACGUGACGGUACCUGCAGAAAAGCAACGGCUAACUACGUG